Molecule: ribosomal RNA, 268 nt
Filed under: uncultured bacterium
Lineage: Bacteria
Description: partial 16S ribosomal RNA
Rfam family: Bacterial small subunit ribosomal RNA
Source: RNAcentral
GUCCACGCCGUAAACGAUGAGUGCUUGAUGUUGGGGGGCCUAGCCCCUCAGUGUCGUAGCUAACGUGAUAAGCACUCCGCCUGGGGAGUACGGCCGCAAGGUUAAAACUCAAAGGAAUUGACGGGGGCCCCGCACAAGCGGUGGAGCAUGUGGUUCAAUUCGACGCAACGCGAAGAACCUUACCAGCUCUUGACAUGGGACGUAUGGGGCCGAGAGAUCGGCUCCUUCAGUUCGGCUGGCGUCCACACAGGUGCUGCAUGGCUGUCGU